AGAGUUUGAUCCUGGCUCAGGACGAACGCUGGCGGCGUGCUUAACACAUGCAAGUCGAACGAUGAACCACUUCGGUGGGGAUUAGUGGCGAACGGGUGAGUAACACGUGGGCAAUCUGCCCUUCACUCUGGGACAAGCCCUGGAAACGGGGUCUAAUACCGGAUAUGAGCCUGGGAGGCAUCUCCUGGGUUGUAAAGCUCCGGCGGUGAAGGAUGAGCCCGCGGCCUAUCAGCUUGCUGGUGAGGUAACGGCUCACCAAGGCGACGAUCCGUAGCUGGUCUGAGAGGAUGAUCAGCCACACUGGGACUGAGACACGGCCCAGACUCCUACGGGAGGCAGCAGUGGGGAAUAUUGGACAAUGGGCGCAAGCCUGAUCCAGCCAUGCCGCGUGAGUGACGAAGGCCUUAGGGUUGUAAAGCUCUUUUGGCGGGGAAGAUAAUGACGGUACCCGCAGAAUAAGCUCCGGCUAACUUCGUGCCAGCAGCCGCGGUAAU
This 494-nucleotide ribosomal RNA is filed under the name uncultured soil bacterium. RNAcentral describes it as "bacterial SSU rRNA". It matches the Rfam family "Bacterial small subunit ribosomal RNA", at positions 8 to 524 of the family's 1533-position model. The record is from RNAcentral.